UGGGGAAUUUUGGACAAUGGGCGCAAGCCUGAUCCAGCCAUGCCGCGUGCGGGAAGAAGGCCUUCGGGUUGUAAACCGCUUUUGUCAGGGAAGAAAUCUUCUGAGUUAAUACCUCGGGAGGAUGACGGUACCUGAAGAAUAAGCACCGGCUAACUACGUGCCAGCAGCCGCGGUAACACGUAGGGUGCAAGCGUUAAUCGGAAUUACUGGGCGUAAAGCGUGCGCAGGCGGUUUUGUAAGACAGAGGUGAAAUCCCCGGGCUCAACCUGGGAACUGCCUUUGUGACUGCAAGGCUUGAGUGCGGCAGAGGGGGAUGGAAUUCCGCGUGUAGCAGUGAAAUGCGUAGAUAUGCGGAGGAACACCGAUGGCGAAGGCAAUCCCCUGGGCCUGCACUGACGCUCAUGCACGAAAGCGUGGGGAGCAAACAGGAUUAGAUACCCUGGUAGUCCACGCCCUAAACGAUGUCAACUGGUUGUUGGGAAGGUUCCUUCUCAGUAACGUAGCUAACGCGUGAAGUUGACCGCCUGGGGAGUACGGCCGCAAGGUUGAAACUCAAAUGAAUUGACGGGGU
This 571-nucleotide ribosomal RNA is filed under the name uncultured bacterium. RNAcentral describes it as "partial 16S ribosomal RNA". It matches the Rfam family "Bacterial small subunit ribosomal RNA", at positions 355 to 919 of the family's 1533-position model. The record is from RNAcentral.